CUACGGGAUGCUCCAGUGGGGAAUCUUAGACAAUGGGGGAAACCCUGAUCUAGCCAUGCCGCGUGAGCGACGACGGCCCUAGGGUUGUAAAGCUCUUUCAGCAGGGAAGAUAAUGACGGUACCUGCAGAAGAAGUCCCGGCUAACUCCGUGCCAGCAGCCGCGGUAAUACGGAGGGGACUAGCGUUGUUCGGAAUUACUGGGCGUAAAGCGCGCGUAGGCGGAUUGUUAAGUCGGGGGUGAAAUCCCGGGGCUCAACCCCGGAACUGCCCUCGAUACUGGCAGUCUUGAGUUCGAGAGAGGUGAGUGGAAUUCCGAGUGUAGAGGUGAAAUUCGUAGAUAUUCGGAGGAACACCAGUGGCGAAGGCGGCUCACUGGCUCGAUACUGACGCUGAGGUGCGAAAGCGUGGGGAGCAAACAGGAUUAGAUACCCUCGUAGUC
RNAcentral lists this ribosomal RNA (439 nucleotides) under uncultured bacterium. RNAcentral describes it as "partial 16S ribosomal RNA". It matches the Rfam family "Bacterial small subunit ribosomal RNA", at positions 339 to 795 of the family's 1533-position model. The record is from RNAcentral.